AUGCCCUCUCCCUCCCUUCCAGCCGGUGCUGCCAUGGCCUCGACCCUGGCCGCCCUUCCCCCCGGGCUCCCACCGUCGCCACCUCCAAUCCAGACCCCUCAUCGCCACUUCAGCCCACGGACACCAAACCUGCAGGCGCUCUCGUCCGAAACCCCCUCCGCCUCCGCCGCGGCGUCGCUCCUCGCCGCCGCCGCGCGCGCCGGCGACCUCCGCCUCGGCCGCGCGCUCCACCGCCGCCUCCUCGGCACCGAGGUCCUCGACACCGACGCCUUGGUCGCCAACUCGCUCCUCACCAUGUACUCCAAGUGCGGCCACGUGAGCGCCGCGCGCAGGGUGUUCGACGGAAUGCGCGGCCUGCGGGACCUCGUGUCCUGGACGGCGAUGGCCUUCUGCCUCGCGCGAAACGGCGCGGAGCAGGAGGCCCUGCUCCUCCUCGGCGAGAUGCUCGAGUCGGGGCUCCGGCCCAACGCGUUCACGCUCUGUGCCGCGGCUCGUGCCUGCUUUCCGGGGGAGCUCUUUCGCCUGUCUGGCGCCGUGGUCCUUGGGUUUGCGCUCAAGACGGGGUUCUGGGGCACCGACGUGUCGGUGGGCUGCGCAUUGAUUGAUAUGUUUGCGAGGAACGGACACCUGGUGGCAGCACGGAAGGUGUUUGAUGGGUUGGUUGAGAGGACAGUGGUCGUCUGGACGCUGAUGAUUACACGGUAUGUGCAAGGCGGGUGUGCAGGCAAGGCGGUUGAAUUAUUUCUUGGCAUGCUAGAAGAUGGUUUUGAGCCCGACGGAUACACCAUGAGCAGCAUGAUUUCGGCAUGCGCAGAGCAGGGAUCGGUCAGAUUGGGGCAGCAACUGCAUUCUCUAGUACUACGGCUGGGGUUGGUUUCUGAUACUUGUGUGAGCUCUGGACUAGUGGACAUGUACGCAAAAUUGCAAAUGGAACAGUCCAUGGAAUGUGCAAGGAAAGUCUUCAAACGAAUGCCCACACAUAACGUUAUGUCAUGGACAGCACUGAUAUCAGGAUAUGUGCAAUGUGGAGCACAGGAAAACAAUGCAAUAGAACUCCUCUGCGAAAUGUUAAAUGAGAGCAUCGAACCAAACCACAUCACAUAUUCUAGUCUUCUUAAGGCCUGUGCAAACCUUUCUGAUCAAGAUUCAGGCAGACAGAUUCAUGCCCGUGUCAUGAAAACCAGCAUAGGGAAUGUAAACGUUGUUGGGAAUGCUCUGGUCAGCAUGUAUGCUGAAUCUGGUUGCAUGGUGGAGGCUAGAAAGGCGUUCGACCAGCUUUAUGAAAGCAACAUACUUUCCACCAGUUCUGAUAUUGGUGGAACUGAGAGCAGCAAUGCCUCUUGGAGUUCUCAGAUUGAGAGCAUGGACGUCGGAGUCAGCACCUUCACAUUUGCUAGUCUGCUUAGUGCUGCUACCACUGUAGGGUUGCCAACCAAGGGUCAGCAACUGCAUGCGCUUUCAAUCAAAGCAGGCUUUGAGUCUGAUAAAGGUAUAAGCAACUCCCUUGUUUCCAUGUAUUCUAGGUGUGGAUAUUUGGAUGAUGCUUGUCGAGCAUUUGAUGAAAUGGACGACCGUAAUGUGAUUUCAUGGACUUCAGUAAUCAGUGGCUUAGCCAAGCAUGGGCACGCGGAACGAGCGUUGUCAUUGUUUCAUGACAUGAUCUUAUCCGGUGUCAAACCAAAUGAUGUCACAUACAUUGCUGUGUUAUCUGCCUGUAGCCAUGUUGGUCUGGUGAAAGAAGGAAAGGAAUACUUCAGAUCAAUGCAGAAGGAUCAUGGACUCAUACCGAGGAUGGAACAUUAUGCUUGCAUGGUGGAUCUUCUUGCACGAUCAGGUCUUGUUCAAGAAGCCCUGGAGUUCAUUAAUGAAAUGCCCUGUAAAGCGGAUGCAUUGAUUUGGAAGACUCUGCUCGGUGCUUGUAGGACUUACGAUAGUAUUGAGAUUGGUAAAAUUGCAGCUAAUCAUGUCAUAGAUCUCGAGCCGCGAGAUCCAGCUCCAUACGUCCUUCUCUCAAACUUGUAUGCCCAUGGUGGUUUAUGGGACGAAGUUGCAAGAAUAAGGAGUCUGAUGAGACACAAGAACUUGAGUAAAGAAACUGGCUUGAGUUGGAUGCAUGUUGGAAAUACCAUUCACGAGUUCAGAGCUGGUGACACCGGCCAUCCGCAAGCACAAGAGAUCUAUGCAAAGUUGGCUGUGCUGAUCAGAGAAAUUAAAGACAUUGGCUACGUACCAGACACAAGCAUCGUGUUCCAUGACAUGUCGGAUGAGCUCAAGGAGGAGUGUCUGCUCCAGCACAGCGAGAAGAUUGCUGUGGCAUUUGGUUUGAUUACUACAUCGCCAACAAAACCAAUAAGGAUCUUUAAGAAUCUCCGUGUGUGCGCAGAUUGCCAUUCUGCAAUCAAGUAUAUCUCUAAAUCGACUGGAAGGGAGGUAAUAUUGAGAGAUAGCAACAGGUUCCAUAGGAUGAAAGAUGGGAAAUGCUCAUGCGGGGAGUACUGGUGA
This 2502-nucleotide ribosomal RNA is filed under the name Triticum aestivum (bread wheat). Its description in RNAcentral is "partial small subunit ribosomal RNA". Lineage: Eukaryota; Viridiplantae; Streptophyta; Magnoliopsida; Poales; Poaceae. The record is from RNAcentral.